This 973-nucleotide ribosomal RNA is filed under the name Staphylococcus aureus. RNAcentral's name for it is "partial 23S ribosomal RNA". It matches the Rfam family "Bacterial large subunit ribosomal RNA", at positions 1333 to 2301 of the family's 2925-position model. Lineage: Bacteria; Bacillati; Bacillota; Bacilli; Caryophanales; Staphylococcaceae. The record is from RNAcentral.
UCCACCGAUUGACUAAGGUUUCCAGAGGAAGGCUCGUCCGCUCUGGGUUAGUCGGGUCCUAAGCUGAGGCCGACAGGCGUAGGCGAUGGAUAACAGGUUGAUAUUCCUGUACCACCUAUAAUCGUUUUAAUCGAUGGGGGGACGCAGUAGGAUAGGCGAAGCGUGCGAUUGGAUUGCACGUCUAAGCAGUAAGGCUGAGUAUUAGGCAAAUCCGGUACUCGUUAAGGCUGAGCUGUGAUGGGGAGAAGACAUUGUGUCUUCGAGUCGUUGAUUUCACACUGCCGAGAAAAGCCUCUAGAUAGAAAAUAGGUGCCCGUACCGCAAACCGACACAGGUAGUCAAGAUGAGAAUUCUAAGGUGAGCGAGCGAACUCUCGUUAAGGAACUCGGCAAAAUGACCCCGUAACUUCGGGAGAAGGGGUGCUCUUUAGGGUUAACGCCCAGAAGAGCCGCAGUGAAUAGGCCCAAGCGACUGUUUAUCAAAAACACAGGUCUCUGCUAAACCGUAAGGUGAUGUAUAGGGGCUGACGCCUGCCCGGUGCUGGAAGGUUAAGAGGAGUGGUUAGCUUCUGCGAAGCUACGAAUCGAAGCCCCAGUAAACGGCGGCCGUAACUAUAACGGUCCUAAGGUAGCGAAAUUCCUUGUCGGGUAAGUUCCGACCCGCACGAAAGGCGUAACGAUUUGGGCACUGUCUCAACGAGAGACUCGGUGAAAUCAUAGUACCUGUGAAGAUGCAGGUUACCCGCGACAGGACGGAAAGACCCCGUGGAGCUUUACUGUAGCCUGAUAUUGAAAUUCGGCACAGCUUGUACAGGAUAGGUAGGAGCCUUUGAAACGUGAGCGCUAGCUUACGUGGAGGCGCUGGUGGGAUACUACCCUAGCUGUGUUGGCUUUCUAACCCGCACCACUUAUCGUGGUGGGAGACAGUGUCAGGCGGGCAGUUUGACUGGGGCGGUCGCCUCCUAAAAGGUAAC